RNAcentral lists this ribosomal RNA (917 nucleotides) under Enterococcus faecium. RNAcentral describes it as "bacterial SSU rRNA". It matches the Rfam family "Bacterial small subunit ribosomal RNA", at positions 1 to 890 of the family's 1533-position model. Lineage: Bacteria; Bacillati; Bacillota; Bacilli; Lactobacillales; Enterococcaceae. The record is from RNAcentral.
UUAUGAGAGUUUGAUCCUGGCUCAGGACGAACGCUGGCGGCGUGCCUAAUACAUGCAAGUCGAACGCUUCUUUUUCCACCGGAGCUUGCUCCACCGGAAAAAGAAGAGUGGCGAACGGGUGAGUAACACGUGGGUAACCUGCCCAUCAGAAGGGGAUAACACUUGGAAACAGGUGCUAAUACCGUAUAACAAUCAAAACCGCAUGGUUUUGAUUUGAAAGGCGCUUUCGGGUGUCGCUGAUGGAUGGACCCGCGGUGCAUUAGCUAGUUGGUGAGGUAACGGCUCACCAAGGCCACGAUGCAUAGCCGACCUGAGAGGGUGAUCGGCCACAUUGGGACUGAGACACGGCCCAAACUCCUACGGGAGGCAGCAGUAGGGAAUCUUCGGCAAUGGACGAAAGUCUGACCGAGCAACGCCGCGUGAGUGAAGAAGGUUUUCGGAUCGUAAAACUCUGUUGUUAGAGAAGAACAAGGAUGAGAGUAACUGUUCAUCCCUUGACGGUAUCUAACCAGAAAGCCACGGCUAACUACGUGCCAGCAGCCGCGGUAAUACGUAGGUGGCAAGCGUUGUCCGGAUUUAUUGGGCGUAAAGCGAGCGCAGGCGGUUUCUUAAGUCUGAUGUGAAAGCCCCCGGCUCAACCGGGGAGGGUCAUUGGAAACUGGGAGACUUGAGUGCAGAAGAGGAGAGUGGAAUUCCAUGUGUAGCGGUGAAAUGCGUAGAUAUAUGGAGGAACACCAGUGGCGAAGGCGGCUCUCUGGUCUGUAACUGACGCUGAGGCUCGAAAGCGUGGGGAGCAAACAGGAUUAGAUACCCUGGUAGUCCACGCCGUAAACGAUGAGUGCUAAGUGUUGGAGGGUUUCCGCCCUUCAGUGCUGCAGCUAACGCAUUAAGCACUCCGCCUGGGGAGUACGACCGCA